AUUGAACGCUGGCGGCAUGCCUUACACAUGCAAGUCGAACGGCAGCACGGGAGCAAUCCUGGUGGCGAGUGGCGAACGGGUGAGUAAUAUAUCGGAACGUGCCAGUCGUGGGGAUAACGUAGCGAAAGCUACGCUAAUACCGCAUACGAUCUAUGGAUGAAAGCGGGGGAUCGCAAGACCUCGCGCGAUUGGAGCGGCCGAUAUCAGAUUAGGUAGUUGGUGAGGUAAAGGCUCACCAAGCCGACGAUCUGUAGCUGGUCUGAGAGGACGACCAGCCACACUGGGACUGAGACACGGCCCAGACUCCUACGGAGGCAGCAGUGGGGAAUUUUGGACAAUGGGCGCAAGCCUGAUCCAGCAAUGCCGCGUGCAGGAUGAAGGCCUUC
This 386-nucleotide ribosomal RNA is filed under the name uncultured bacterium. RNAcentral's name for it is "bacterial SSU rRNA". It matches the Rfam family "Bacterial small subunit ribosomal RNA", at positions 30 to 419 of the family's 1533-position model. The record is from RNAcentral.